GGUGAGCCUCUUUCUCAAACUGCACAGUCAUUUAUGCCUGAGUUGAUAUACGGUGUCAAUCGAAGUUUGGCAAAGGCUCGGACGUUACUAAAGUCACUAGUGAUGGUUGGAGCUACACUUGGAUUGGUUUUAGGUGUGAUUGGAACAUGUGUUCCUUGGUUGUACCCAAAUCUCUUUACACCUGAUCAAAAUGUUGUACGGGAGAUGCACAAAGUGCUUUUACCAUACUUCAAGGCUAUGAGUGCUAGAUGUAAUA
RNAcentral lists this unclassified non-coding RNA (256 nucleotides) under Hevea brasiliensis (rubber tree). Lineage: Eukaryota; Viridiplantae; Streptophyta; Magnoliopsida; Malpighiales; Euphorbiaceae. The record is from RNAcentral.